RNAcentral lists this long non-coding RNA (6927 nucleotides) under Sus scrofa (pig). Its description in RNAcentral is "lncRNA (ENSSSCG00030015314.1)". Lineage: Eukaryota; Metazoa; Chordata; Mammalia; Artiodactyla; Suidae. The record is from RNAcentral.
UUUUUUUUUUUUUUUUUUUUUUUUUUUUUUGGAGUUCCUGUCAUGGCCCAGUGAUGACAAACCCAGUUAGGAACCAUAAGGACUCAUGUUUGCUCAGUGGGUUAAGGAUCCAGCAUUGCUGUGACCUGCAGUGUAGGUUGCAGACGCAGCUUGAAUCUGGUGUUGCUGUGGCUGUGGUGUAGGCCAGCAGCUACAACUCUGAUUCAACCCCUAGCCCGGGAACUUCCAUAUGCUGAGGGUGUGGCCCUAAUAGACCAAAAAAAAAAAAAAGCUUGUUUUUCAUGACUGUUCAUGGAAGCAAAUAAAAUGUGUGUUGCUUUUUAAAAAUUCAGAUUUGACAAGUUACUUUUUGAAGCUUUGAUGCUCAUCUACCCUGAACCUUCUCCGAUGGGCAUUUGCAUAUGCCCCAGGGAUACCUGGGUGGUAUACCAACAGGAUGUAGAAGUCAUGAGAUUAAAAAGGGCAAGGCUUCCUAGAAAAAUGGCUUUUUCUAUUAUUCUGAUGGUUCAAAUGGAAAAUAGUAUUAUUUCUAUAUUAACACAAAUAACAUAUGUGAGGGAGCAGAAGGCAAAUAGGUAAGAUAUUUAAGAUGAGUGAGACAGAAGUUAUGCCUCCAAGGCUCUUGGGUGGGGUAUUCUUUCUCCUUUACUAUUGGGGUAUUAGGAUAGAAAAGUUGUGCAAAACUGUUUCAUAGCCAUCUUUGCUGCCACCAAAUACAAACAGGCAAAACAUGAGCAGUGAAGGCAAUGGCUGUCUUUACAAGAGUUCAUUAAAAUAUAGAUAUAUUCCACAAGAGUGCUUAAAAUGUCCUUUGAUUUGGCCUCAUUCCUGCUGGUUAUCUGCCUAAAACACAUUUCACCUUUCUUCCUAUCUAAGUUGGAUUAACCCAGCUCAGAAUUCAGUCACCCAAGAAGCUCUCCCAAAAAAUUCCAGUCCAAAGUGAUAUCUUUCAUUGGAAUUCACGUCACUUCUUCUCUAUAUCGCUUUUUAAAAAUCAACUAUUUUCUUUAAAAGUAAUAUGUGCUCCUUAUCAAAAUACAUAAAACAUAGAAAAAUAUAAAGAAUAUUAAAAUUGCCUAUAAGAACAUCCACCCAGAGGUUAGUAUGUUUAAGCUUCUUUCAUAAUAUUUUACAGUUGCAAGUUUAUACUUUGAGAUUAUAUUGACUGUAUACAUGUUUUUCACCAAAUGACAAGCAUUUACCCAUCACUUCCCUUAGGUUUUAUCUAAACAUGUCCCCUGGUAUUUGACCUUUCAUGUCUUGUUUUUUUACCUAUCAGCUCUAUUACAUUCAUUCCCUUGCUCAUUCAUUCCUUCUUUAAACACUGAGUAGUCACUUACAACAUACCAAACUUCGUGCUUAAGAGUUUUCGUUCUGUUCCCAUACUAACUUAUGAAUAAGGACGGUUUUUAAAAUUUUCCCCCAAAUUUUAACUACUGACUUAAUCAAAUGAGAAGUACACAGUAAGUAUUUGAGAAUGAACUUAAGAAAAUUUCAUUUAUCCUCAACUUUUUGGAAACAUUCAUUUGCAUUAGGGUGCUUCUCAAAUUGUACAUACGGACUAUUGGCCACCUUUUAAUAAAAUGGUAGGAAGUCCUUAAUGAAUUGUUUCAUAUUUUCCUUUUAAAAUUUAAAUUUUGGCCACAGUGCAUGUUUAAUCAUUUUUGGCAACAUAUGGUAGACAAGGAGUCAGCAUCUGUACCAAGCUUAAUACCUGUGUACCCAGGCCAGUGCAGAGGCAGAGAGGGCAACUAAAGAAACAGACUCCAAAAAAACAACUGUGCAGAAUUAUAAACCAUUAGUAAAGAAAAUGGAAAAACAUUCCUUGUUCUUGGCUUGGAAUAACUAAUAUUGUUAGAAUGGCCACACUGCCCAAAGCAAUCUAAGACUUAAUAUGAUCCCUAUGAAAUUACCUAUGACGUUUUUCACAGAACUAGAACAAAUACUCCUAAACUUUAUAUGGAAUCAUAAAAUGUCCAGAACUGCCAAAGCAAUCCUGAGGAAAAAAACAAAACAGGAGCCAUAACCCUCCCAAACUUCAGACAAUACUAGAAAGCCACAGUCAUCAAAAACAGCAUGGUAUUGACACAGAAACAGACAUAUAGAUCAAUGGAACAGAAUAAAGAGUCCAGAAAUAAACGCACACACCUACGGUCAAUCAUCUGACAUAGGAAGCAAGAACAGACAGUGGGAAAAAGGCAGUCUCUUCAGCAAGCGGUGUUGGAAGGUAGACAGCUGCAUGUAAACCAAUGAAGGCAGAACACACCUUCAUAGCAUACACAAAAAUAAACUCAAAAUAGCUUAUAAGGACUUAAAUACAAGAUACGACACCAUAAAACUCCCCGAAGAGAACACAAGCAAAACAUUCUCUGAUAUAAACUGUACCACUAUUUCUUUGGUCAGUCUCCCAAGGCAACAGAAAUAAAAGCAAAAAUAAACAAAUAGGACCUAAUCAAACUUAGAAGCUUUGGUACAGUAAAGAAAACCAUAAACAAAACAAAAAGACAAACUACAGACUGAGAGAAAACAUUUGCAAAUGAUGUGGCCAACAAGGGCUUAAAUUCCAAAGUUUACAAACAAUUCAUACAACUCAAUAACAGAAAACCAAACAGCCCAAUCAAAAAAAUGGGCAGAAGACGUAAACAGACAUUUCUGCAAAGAAGACAUAAAGACGGAUGAUAGGCAUAUGAAAAGAUGCUCAACGUCACUAAUUAGUAGAGAAAUGCAAACCAAAACUACAGUGAGGUACCACUUCACACUGGUCAGAAAGGCCGUCAUAAAAUAGUCUACAAAUAACAGACGCUUGGAGAGAGUGUGGAAAAAAAAGGGACCUUCCUACAUUGUUGGUGGUAGUGUAAGGUGAUGCAGCCACUAUGGAGAACAGUAUGAAGGUUCCUCAAAAAACUAAAAAUAGAGUUGCCAUAUGAUCCAGCAAUCCCAUAUUGCUGGGCAUAUAUCUGGACGAAACUAUAAUUUGAAAAGAUAGCAUACCCCUAUGUUCACAGCAGUGCUAUUCACAACAGCCAAGACAUGAAAACAACCUAAAUGUCCAUCAAUAGAUGAACGGAUAAAGAAGAUGUAGUAGGAGAUUCCUGGUGGCCUGAUAGUUAAUAACCUGGUGUUGUCACUGCUGUGGCUCAGGCUGCUGCUCUGGAGCAAGUCUGACCCCUGGCCCUGAGACUGCUGCAUUCAGCAGGUGCAGCCCCCCUCAAAAUAAGAAGAUGUGGUAUAUCUAAACAAUGGGAUACUAACUACUUAACCAUUACAAGAACGAAAUACUGCCAUCUGCAGCCACACGGAUGGACCUAAAGAUGAUCAUACUAAGUGAAGUCAGAAAGGCAAAAGCAAAUACCACACGAUGACACUGAACAGGUGGAUCUAAAAUCCAACACAGAUGAACAGACCCACACAGCAAAAACAGACUCACGGACAUAGAGAACAGACUUGUGGUUGCCAAGGAAGAGGGAAGGCGGGGAGGGACAGAUUGGGAGUUUGGGGUUAGCAGGUGCAAACUGUUACGUAUAGAAUAUGGAUGAACAACAAGGUCCUACUGCACAACGCCCUGUGAUCAACCACAAUGUAAAAGAAUAUGUUCACGUACAGCUGUGUCACUUUGCUGUACAGGAGACAUUAACACAACACUGCACAUCAGUUUUUAAAAAAGACACACUGCGUGUUGCAGGACGUGAGAAUGCUUAAAGAUGAUGCAGGUAGCACAUGAUGCUUCCUGCAGAAAAAGUGACUCAAGGAUAUAUUUUGUGUGUUAAGAAAGACCUGUGUGUGUUCUGGACUGAGGCUCUUUUUAUUUAGUUGCUCAACUCUGAGAACACUUUCCUUUGAGAAAAGAAGCAAUGCAAAAAGGUCAGGUUACUCAUUAUUCUUUCUUAUCGACUCAGUGUCUCAACUUUGUGCCAUACCUUCUGGUACCCAACACGGCAACAACCAUAGAGGGUAAUAAACCCUUCCUUUGAACUUGUGAUUUAUGUGUAAUGCUUGCAUAAUGAUUAUCAGCAUAUAAAUUCUGGGUAGUUCAGCUGCUGCCCAUGCUGCCUAAAAAAAAAAAAAAAAAAGAAAAGGUUUCCUGUUAUUUCAGUGUUCUUUCUUGGCAAAGUACUAUAAAGCUGGAAAAGAGCUCGAAUUAAAUGUUGAUUGAAAAAAGGCCAAUUCAUUUCAAAAGAAAAAGAUCUAAGGUUCAUAACAUCUUUAGAGGGACUUCACAGAGAUGCAAAGGUGCACUGGAAGAUGCGAAGCUCUCCCAGGAUCCAGGGAAGCUCCUCCUUUGCUGUGGAUUACUCACCCUUUACCCUCUUCUCUUGUGCUGAAAGCACAAAUUAACUAGUCAGGAGAAAACUGCUCUUAGGAUUUGUAAGUAACCUCGAUUACUUAGAGAAGGUGUCACCCAGGAUUUCUGUUUACAUGUGUGUCACUUUUCUUUCUUAUUUUCAAACGUUUAUAAUACGGAAUGGGCUCGUUGGGGAGAAUGUAGAAAAUACAGGAGAAAGAGAUUUAAAAAAUCAGUUACAUAAAUAUACUAUCUAGUGAUAACAACUACUAAUUUAAUUCAUUUUUACUAAUCUUUUUUCAGAUAUAUUUCUUUAGACACACAGAUAUCUUUCUUUUUAAAAUAUUUUCUUUUUCUUCUAUAGAACCUACUCCUCACAGGUAGAUUGGAAUAAAAUGUAUGUUAUAGCCAUUUUCACUUUCUCUAGGAAAAAUUAACUUCUGUUUAUUAAAAAGGGAUUGAAGGAUUUAGAGAGAGGGGUCAAGGGAAAUAUCUGGAAGAAAAUAAAGAAAAUAACAUUUCCUAAAUUCUAUUUCAAAAGUACUCUGUAUUAUAUUCUAUAUAGAGGCAUGCUAAGAUUUAAAUAAAACAUUAAAGUUUACCAUAAAAGUAGCUAGCUUACCUUUGUAUGGAUUCAGGAUACACUAAAUUAACCAGAAAAGGAUAACUUUAAAGAAUUUACCAAAUUAAUAAACAUACAUUGAUGCUUUCUAAAUAAGUGGCCCUGGGAUCUCAAGCGGUCUACAUCUUUAUAGAUUUAUUUGGUAAGAAACUAUGAGCUUUGCUAAUGAUCUCUAGAAAAUAUCAGGAUAUUUCCAAAUAUUUAACAGUAGAUUCACAUAUAACUACUACUAACUUCUGUGUAAUUCUGGGUCUUCUUCUUCUUCUUCAUUUAUUUAUUUAUUUAUUUUAGGGCCAUACCUGUGGCAUAUGGAGGUUCCCAGGCAAGAGUUUAAAAUCAUGCACAGAGGGAAAAAAACAGCAUAAGCAAAGUCAAUUGACAAACUAGAACCAAAAAUUGCAAAUUCUAUCACAAAUGAAGGCUAACUGGCUUCUCUAGAGAGUUGAAAAUUUAAAGAACAUUUCUCCCCCAAUCUCCCAAAAUAUGGGCAAAGGACAGGUACCCGUGGCACUGGAAAAAUACAGGCAAGCAACCCAUGAGUACAUGAAAAGAUGCUCCAGGGUUCGGCCUAAUGGAAGCCUGAGCAAUGUCUAUCACAUCGUGGGUUUCUGAAGAAGUAACUUAAAGAAACUAGAAAUUAAAUGGCUUUCUUAGAAUGAAAAUUCUCUAUCACAAGGAAAAAUGUUGUAUGUUGUUUUUCCCAUAAUGGAGGUCAGUGGGCGCUAUGAUUAACAAAUAUCUGAUGCCUGUGACUUUUUAAUUGCAAGAAAUCUGUGAGUUUUUUUAUUAUCUAUGGGAAAUAUUGCAUAUAUUAAUGAUAUCUAAAAUACGCUAUCACCUAACUUGUAUUAUUGAGCAAUUCUGUCCACAUCUGGCCUUUCACCUUUCAUCUAAAAAGCAGGGGCUGGACCAACUGACCUUCAGUGCCAUUCUUACUGCUAACAUUCUAAUUUUGUUUUUCUUGCCUUUUUGUACAGAAGUGUGAGAGAAGUCAUUUUAAGUCUGUGACAUUAAAUGUAAUUUUCUGUCUCCAGCAUUAUAAUAAGAAUCAAAGAUGUAAUCUAAUACACUGAUGGAAUAUUGUUUAUAACGUAUUUACUGUUUAAAGCCUUCAAAACCAAGAGAAAACAAAAUGAGUACCUGUUCCUUCUGAGAAAUGCCCUUCUUCCUGUUCAGAAUCCCUGUGUAUAACAGGAAUGCUCUCGAGUUAACAGCGAAGUAAGGGGCCCAUCGGCUGGCAGGUGCCCACCUAGGUGCAAGCAGAGGUGGCAGUGCUCCCAGGACCAACAGCAGAAACAUGGCUUAACUAUCCUGUGUUUAGCAGUUCUCUUAUGGGUUUUCAUAACACCUAAAAAGCGCCCUGAUGGGGUAAAGCCUCUGCCUUCAUGCUGCUGCCCCAUCUCUGAAAAGCAGGACGUAAAUAUACAAUUUAGGAGGUAAGAGGGACAUCUGCCAUUGUUUUCUUUAACACAGUCAGCCUCUGUUUAAUGAAUCCCAGCCACCUCCCUCCACCUACCAUCAUUCCUAAGGUUUGCAGAGGAGCUGCCAUAGAGCUCAAAACAUGGUCUACAGACAAGCAUCUUCUCCAUCCCUCCUCAUCUUCUCACGGGCCGUUUGACAAAAUCUCUAGGAGGAGGUGGAGGCGCCACCAGUGUUUAAGCCCCUCGUUCACCCAAAGCCUUGACUCUGGAGUUCUAGUCCUCGUGGGACCUUAGGAAGUUCACGGUCAAUACUCUGCCCUUGGGCUCAGACACUAAGAUGAUCUCCGGGUAAAGAGAUAGACAGUAGCUCCAUGCCUGAUUUAGGAAAACUGUCCGUACAGACAGUUGUAAUUCAUUCCUUUCAGAGACAAAUCCUGCUCUCUUCCUAGUUCCUGAAGUCAUUAAAAUCAAAAGCUCUCAGAAACGUCCCAGCAUUUGCUAAGUCCACGCUGGGGGAGGAUGGGCAGAGCCGUGUUCAGCGCGUUUGACAGCAACACCCACUUAUUUCAUUCAGUAUCCAUAGGCAUAUAUCAUGCACCUGG